RNAcentral lists this ribosomal RNA (409 nucleotides) under Actinomycetes bacterium. RNAcentral describes it as "Actinobacteria bacterium partial 16S ribosomal RNA". It matches the Rfam family "Bacterial small subunit ribosomal RNA", at positions 355 to 776 of the family's 1533-position model. The record is from RNAcentral. Lineage: Bacteria; Bacillati; Actinomycetota; Actinomycetes.
UGGGGAAUAUUGCACAAUGGGCGCAAGCCUGAUGCAGCGACGCCGCGUGAGGGAUGACGGCCUUCGGGUUGUAAACCUCUUUCAGCUCCGACGAAGCGCAAGUGACGGUAGGAGCAGAAGAAGCACCGACCAACUACGUGCCAGCAGCCGCGGUAAUACGUAGGGUGCAAGCGUUGUCCGGAAUUACUGGGCGUAAAGAGCUCGUAGGCGGUUUGUCGCGUCGUCUGUGAAAUUCUGCAGCUUAACUGCAGGCGUGCAGGCGAUACGGGCAGACUUGAGUACUACAGGGGAGACUGGAAUUCCUGGUGUAGCGGUGAAAUGCGCAGAUAUCAGGAGGAACACCGGUGGCGAAGGCGGGUCUCUGGGUAGUAACUGACGCUGAGGAGCGAAAGCGUGGGUAGCGAACAGG